CACUUUAUACACUUUCAAAUGCCAGAAUAAAGCCCUAAUGAAACACAUUUCAUUUCCCUUUUUUUAAAAAACAAAGUAAAAAGAAAACCUAUAGAAAUCAUCGCUGUUCGGCCGACUCAAGAAUCUGCGCAGUCCCACCACCACUGCGAUCGGUGGAGAACGACGCGCGCAACCCUUGUCUAGAGCCUUGGCUUAACGAUUGCCGGUCUCAGCUCCAGAAAUCCUAUCCCACGCUUCGAUUUCGACAAAGUGAAUAUGGAUUUCGAUAGCCCAUUCAUAAAGGUGAACUCUCCUUUUCAUUUUAUUUUCUUAUGCUCAAGGAUUCAUGCAAAAACUGGGAAAUGGAGAGGAAAAAAAAUUGAAAAAGGAAACAAAUCUGGGUCUCACCUUUCGAUUUUUUUUUGUGUUUUGUAUUUCAAAAUGUAUAUUGUGCGUGUAACCCAUUACAAGUGAUUCUCUUUAGGCUUUAUAGCCGAGAGAAGAAGAGAAAAAAAAUGAAAAUAAAAUAUACAAUUUUUUUUUCUGUUGUUUUCUUGCACUUAUUUGCUGUUGUGGUUUGUCCCUUUCUUCACAGGUACAGGUGCGCGCUGGCAUGUGUACGGGAGCCGAGCUAGCGUACGGAGGCUUGGCGUGGUCACUGGAAGCGUUGUACGGCGUCUGGAGGCUGCAGGGGUUGCGGCGCAAAUGAGGGAGGGGUGACCUAGGGUUGCUGGAGGCUUUUGGGCCAUUUGGGCCUCGUAACUUUGGAUAAAUGGGCUAGGGUAUUAGUGUUGGGUUUUAAUUGACUAGUCGGUUGUUUGGGUCUAUUUUUGGGUCAAGUCUAGGUUUAGUCAUUGGGCUUGUAACUUGGGUCUUGGGUUUUAAUAUUAGUUUGGGCUAUUGGUUUCUGUAAUUGGACUGUAAUGAACUGCGGUUUUUUUUAUUCUUGUUUGUUUGUUUAUUUUGUAUUUAUUUAUUUGGGUUUCUAGUGGGCCCGGGCAAAUUUGGCCCACUACAAUCUUGUCAAGUUAUCACCAAAACGACCACAAUAACGGUUCAAUCAGGGACUCAAGAUAACAAGUUCCAAGUUCAUAAAGCUUAAGAGCAAAUAAGCUAUAAAAACAUCUAAAACAUCAUGGCAAUAUUUAUGAUUUACAAUCAUAAACACUUUAUUAAAAGUUCAUUGGUUUACGAUCGUAACUCUAUUUAAACAAUUUGAUGAUUUACGAUUACAACUGGCAUUUUUAAAACACACUGAUUUAUGAUCACAACUUCAGUUUAUUGAUUUACAAUCAUGAACAAUUCAUUAAGAG
This 1292-nucleotide long non-coding RNA is filed under the name Gossypium barbadense (sea-island cotton). Its description in RNAcentral is "long non-coding RNA (GBAR_LNC001384)". Lineage: Eukaryota; Viridiplantae; Streptophyta; Magnoliopsida; Malvales; Malvaceae. The record is from RNAcentral.